AUGAAGCUACAUAUGACGAACCAUGUGCUCCAAGGCGGCGCCUUCAGGAAGGAAACAACACCGGAGUGCCGCCAUCGCCCAAUCCAAAGACCAGAGUUUCCCCGGAGCCGCAUGACGGGCAAUGAGAGCCGCGACGACGCCUUCAAGAAGGGAACGAUCUUCGCCGCCGCCGGUCCGUCCGAAGAUAGAACAGAUUUUCACCUUGGCCAACAUUCAUCGCCACCGAACGCCACACCCCGGCAACCACGCCGCCUACACGGCCAUGGUGACCGGACAGCACCAAGGCACGGGUUCUGUCCAUGA
RNAcentral lists this ribosomal RNA (303 nucleotides) under Triticum aestivum (bread wheat). RNAcentral's name for it is "partial small subunit ribosomal RNA". The record is from RNAcentral. Lineage: Eukaryota; Viridiplantae; Streptophyta; Magnoliopsida; Poales; Poaceae.